RNAcentral lists this ribosomal RNA (234 nucleotides) under Escherichia coli. RNAcentral describes it as "partial 16S ribosomal RNA". It matches the Rfam family "Bacterial small subunit ribosomal RNA", at positions 1 to 230 of the family's 1533-position model. Lineage: Bacteria; Pseudomonadati; Pseudomonadota; Gammaproteobacteria; Enterobacterales; Enterobacteriaceae. The record is from RNAcentral.
UCAACGGAGAGUUUGAUCCUGGCUCAGGACGAACGCUGGCGGCGUGCUUAACACAUGCAAGUCGAGCGGAGCUUAAAGAGCUUGCUUUUUAAGCUUAGUGGCGAACGGGUGAGUAACGCGUGAGUAACCUGCCCUAGAGUGGGGGACAACAGUUGGAAACGACUGCUAAUACCGCAUAAGCCCACGGUACCGCAUGAUACUGAGGGAAAAGGAUUUAUUCGCUUUAGGAUGGAC